GGCAUUCUCAGAUGACACACCCCCGAAUCCGGCUCCCUCCUCUCUGGUUCCGGGUGCAUCAACUGAGGGCCGCA
Myotis lucifugus (little brown bat) is the source of this 74-nucleotide non-coding RNA. The record is from Rfam. Lineage: Eukaryota; Metazoa; Chordata; Mammalia; Chiroptera; Vespertilionidae.